This is a long non-coding RNA of Equus caballus (horse), 2042 nucleotides long. The record is from Ensembl. NCBI's taxonomy places the organism in Eukaryota, Metazoa, Chordata, Mammalia, Perissodactyla, Equidae.
UGCUCCUUUCAUAGGUAGGGAAAAGUAGGAUAGUAAAAAGGGGCCCAUAGAUGGCCUGCGUGUCCUCACAAAUCUUUGUAUGGAAAAGGCCCAGAGACCCCUAUCCUUUUAAGCAAUGGGCUGUAUCGCUACAUGGUAGGGUGGCUAUAAAAUUUAUUGUCCAAACGGAGACACUUUUGAAAGUGAAAGGGAGCACUAUUAAUAAUUACACCUGGACAACAGGCAUAAACCACAACUGUCCUGGGCAAACUGGGACGUAUGGUCAUCCUAUUACACCGAGACAGUGCAAUGAUGUAUGGAUGGGAUCUUUCAAGCCUAGAAUGUAACUUUGGGAUUUUUCUGAGCUAAAGUACCUUGUGUUCUUUAUGUGUAAGUUCUGUCCUCAGAGCUGUUCUGUCCCUACAUGGCUUUGUAGGGAAACAAACUCAUUUUUCCCCCAUUUUGAAAGAAAUAUAAGCCAUCAUCUAUCUUAGAUGCUGUUUAGAAGUAGAGGAUAAUUGGAAGAUGGGAUGCAGUGCAGCAUCGGCAGCUAUCUUCUCUCCAUGGGCUGGUGCUCUCUUGAUAAUUGAUGAUGAGAUGGAAGCACAGAGGCAUUUACAGUUAAUCCACAGAUUCGUGAAGCUGCAAUUUUUAAAAAUUUCCUUACUUCAUGACUAUAUGAAACAUAGAGGAAUGAAUGGUAACCUUUGUCAUAUUAAAAUAUCACUGUCAUAUGAGAGGAUUUCUUCAGAAUCUGCUGGUCUUUGAAUAUCCAUUCAUAUUUAAGGGUGAGGUACUAAAAAGAAGCCAGGACACUUCUUCAAGGAGCUAAGCAUACACAACUGGCCCAGAAAUCAGAGAAACUGAGGGAGAAUCGAGAGGUACAAGGGCCAGCUUCAGGCUCCACCAUUGCCUCAUGCCACCAGGAUGCGAUCUUCAGAGAAGCACAGGAUGGCUUUAGGUGUACCUCAUCACCACUAGGAAGAUAGCUGUGCCUGCCUUUGCUGUAAAUGCGUCCCUGUUUAUGACUGGAGCAUGGCUUCAGAGAAGAGAAGAUGAGCUACAGAGACAGUGGAAAGAAACUCUCUCGCUGAGAAAGAAGAUAGUCCACCAGCAGGAACACAGGCAUUGAAAGUGAGCUACAGAAAUAAAGUGCCCAUUCUGAGGAACAACGGAAUGAACCGAAUGCAUAAAACAAGUUAUAUGGACAGGCCAAACGUCAGGUCCUCCUCUGAGAAUGGAGUUAAUAAUGGAACUUGGUCUUAGGAUGCCUGAGGUUGCAUAUAUAUCAGACACACAAAAGAUACAAAAUUCAAUCUGUGCUUGAAGGGAGCUUCUCAUGGGAGAUGGAAGAAGAGCAAGAUUUGGCCACAAGAUAUAUCUGUGCGAGAUUUGGAAGGUGAAAAUAAAGCCGUAAUUGUGUUCACUCUGGGAAACUUGAUCAAGUCUGGCUCUUCUGCAGCUCAUCAAAGUUUCUACAGUGCCAGAGUCCGUUAGUUGCCAGGACCUGCUUGAAGUAGUAAGAUGAGAAUGAACGUGGCACCUGUUGGGCACAGCGGAGAAGAGAGCUAGGAUCCAUUUGCAGUGUCCACCAUCAUUCUAAGUUCACCACAGAAUUCCCCCAGAGACCAGUACCUUGCUUGACACAAAGGAGAAACUCUAUAAAUGUGAUAGAUGGAUAAAAGAAGAAAAAAGUCUCAAUAUUAUCAAUUGGAAAUUUAUCAAUCAACAUCAGUUUUUCUUAUUACUGUUCGUGAUGUGAUGAUUGUCUUCUAUACUUCCAGAAACAGGCCUUUUCCUGUUGAAUUGAGGAGAGCCACUUUGUGUUUUAUUUGGAGCAAUAUAAAAGACUUUGAAGAUUUUCAACUGAUGGAAGACACAGGAGAUUACAAACUUUGUCUAUUGUGCCUCCUACUGAAUUGAAUGUCCAGAAGAGAGCCAGGAUCUAAUAGACAUGAAUAUUUCGGGAAGAGAAAGGAGAGGAGAAAGAAAGUACCCAUUGUGAUUUGUUUUUCAGCCCUACAAUCUUCAAGAAGGGUCCUAGUCCUCAAAGACUAUUUAAG